This 556-nucleotide ribosomal RNA is filed under the name fungal sp. P.V39 RP-2014. Its description in RNAcentral is "eukaryotic LSU rRNA". The stretch from base 182 to 335 matches the Rfam family "5.8S ribosomal RNA". Lineage: Eukaryota; Fungi. The record is from RNAcentral.
GGGGAAUGCGGGUAGCGCUUCGUCGCACCAGAAACCCUUUGUGAACUUAUACCUAUACUGUUGCCUCGGCGCUGGCCGGCCUCCUCACCGAGGCCCCCUGGAGACAGGGAGCAGCCCGCCGGCGGCCAAACAAACUCUUGUUUCUUAGUGAAUCUCUGAGUAAAAAAACAUAAUGAAUCAAAACUUUCAACAACGGAUCUCUUGGUUCUGGCAUCGAUGAAGAACGCAGCGAAAUGCGAUAAGUAAUGUGAAUUGCAGAAUUCAGUGAAUCAUCGAAUCUUUGAACGCACAUUGCGCCCUCUGGUAUUCCGGAGGGCAUGCCUGUUCGAGCGUCAUUUCAACCCUCAAGCCUGGCUUGGUGUUGGGGCACCGCCUUUGCAAAAGGGCGGGCCCUGAAAUCUAGUGGCGAGCUCGCCAGGACCCCGAGCGUAGUAGUUAUAUCUCGUUCUGGAAGGCCCUGGCGGUGCCCUGCCGUUAAACCCCCAACUUCUGAAAUUUUGACCUCGGAUCAGGUAGGAAUACCCGCUGAACUUAAGCAUAUCAAAAGCCGGAGGAA